This is a non-coding RNA of Camellia sinensis, 480 nucleotides long. Lineage: Eukaryota; Viridiplantae; Streptophyta; Magnoliopsida; Ericales; Theaceae. The record is from RefSeq and is a predicted model, not a curated record.
UUUCUGUUAGUAUGUGAUAAUGUGUAAUUUAAUUAAAAAUUAAUUAAUUUAUAUAAUUAUAUUAAAAUAUAGGGUCAAAAGGUAAUUAUCUUAAAUAUCUAUUAAGAAUAAGAACGAAUUUAUAUAGUUAUUACUGAAUCUGCCACGUAGCGCCUUUUCCCCCUAUAAAUACGGAGGCGCCUGGAGAGGAAACGGCAGGAAGAAAGAAAAAGAAAGAAAGGAAGAGAGAAAGAAAAGAAAGAAAAAGAAAGAAAGAAAAGAGAGGAAAAGAAGGAAAGAAUAGUAGAAGCUAAAAGGGUCUUUGAUAGUGGAAAGAAAGUAAGGUAUUAAAGUUAAGGUGACAUGUCAGGACCAGCGUGUGGGGUAGGCACCAAGCACUUUUAUUAAUGUAUUUUUUUAUGUAAAUAUCGGCCUUUUUGGUCGAUACAUUUUGUAAUAAAAAUAGAAGCUCCAAUGAUUAUUUUAGUACCCUUAUUUAAA